GCAGCUUAGUUGGUUAGAGCAUGGUGCUGAUAAUGCCAAGGUUGCAGGUUCAAUCCCCAUUGCA
Non-coding RNA from Podarcis lilfordi (Lilford's wall lizard), 64 nucleotides. Lineage: Eukaryota; Metazoa; Chordata; Lepidosauria; Squamata; Lacertidae. The record is from the annotation of a GenBank genome assembly.